GGAGGAAAGUAGGGGAUCGCAAGACCUUGCGCUAAAGGAGCGGCCGAUGUCUGAUUAGCUAGUUGGUGGGGUAAAGGCUUACCAAGGCAACGAUCAGUAGUCGGUCUGAGAGGACGGCCAACCACACUGGGACUGAGACACGGCCCAGACUCCUACGGGAGGCAGCAGUGGGGAAUUUUGGACAAUGGGCGAAAGCCUGAUCCAGCCAUGCCGCGUGAGUGAAGAAGGCCUUCGGGUUGUAAAGCUCUUUUAGUCGGAAAGAAAGAGUUGCAAUGAAUAAUUGUGAUUUAUGACGGUACCGACAGAAAAAGCACCGGCUAACUACGUGCCAGCAGCCGCGGUAAUACGUAGGGUGCGAGCGUUAAUCGGAAUUACUGGGCGUAAAGGGUGCGCAGGCGGUCUUGCAAGUCAGAUGUGAAAGCCCCGGGCUUAACCUGGGAAUUGCGUUUGAAACUACAAGGCUAGA
RNAcentral lists this ribosomal RNA (466 nucleotides) under uncultured ammonia-oxidizing beta proteobacterium. RNAcentral describes it as "bacterial SSU rRNA". It matches the Rfam family "Bacterial small subunit ribosomal RNA", at positions 198 to 645 of the family's 1533-position model. Lineage: Bacteria; Pseudomonadati; Pseudomonadota; Betaproteobacteria. The record is from RNAcentral.